UCGAGCAGUUAAGACCAAAUUGACAGCCAGACAGCGACAGCCUGUCAUCGAGUUGCACAGCAGCAUUUUCCCGUCGCAGUCCGCGAGCGAGUUCUGAAUUUUUUCCGGGAAGUUUGUAACCCGUAAAUCGUCGUCCUUCCUUCCGCAACCAUCAUGAGGAUUCCGCUGGGACCGAAACAAGCCGAACAGGCCACCAAAUGGAUCUCUUCCGCCAUGGGCUUUGGAGGCGCCGCUGGCCUUGUUGGUCUGUACCUGACCGACUGGAGAGUGAUCGUUACCUACAUCCCAUUCUACGGGGGCAAAUUCAAGGAAGACUAAGCGAGUGAGUGAAGUCUUCGUUUAGGGACAGAUUUUCGAGUACCAGUUGUGGGUCAAAACCCUAUGUGGUUCAUUUGCGGUUAAGAUAUUUGAUUUAUUUUCGAAAACAAUACAAUACCAUCUAAUAAUGUAGGACAACA
Molecule: long non-coding RNA, 458 nt
Organism: Uranotaenia lowii
Lineage: Eukaryota; Metazoa; Arthropoda; Insecta; Diptera; Culicidae
Exons: 2
Source: RefSeq, a predicted model, not a curated record